This 1423-nucleotide long non-coding RNA is filed under the name Castor canadensis (American beaver). RNAcentral's name for it is "lncRNA (ENSCCNG00000014000.1)". The record is from RNAcentral. Lineage: Eukaryota; Metazoa; Chordata; Mammalia; Rodentia; Castoridae.
AUUUCUGUGUAUGGACUGUCUUGACUAAUGCCAUCAACCUCAGGGAUCUUUCUUGUGCAUACUAUGUUGUUACCUUAUAGGAGUUCCAACCGAAUGUCUAAGCCACCUGUGGAGGACACUGACAUGAGAAAACAGUAAUGCACUUCCACAUCAAAAAUUUCUGGAAGGCUCCAAUGGACUAGCAUCUUGAAUUAUGAUAUGGUCUGCUGGCAAUUCAUGUCAUCCUUGGGCAUCUUUGGAAAACAACCCCUUUCUCUGCUAGUCAUCUCCCUGGAACACAGUCAAUUUGACCAGUUCAACAGCAUCUUCCCACUCAUCACACUCACUGCAAGGCAUGAGACUGGGGGAAGUUUCUGGAUCCUCAGUGGUCUCCAUGAAGUAGACCUCCAGGUCAUUAUGACGUGUGCAGCAAUACUUGAAUAGCUCUCUAGACCAGACCACUUUAUAGCCUCUGGUGGAUCUUCAUUGUUACCAAACUUCAAAGAAGGACGAUGACUAAUGGAACUCAGAGGCCAGGCCACCACACUGCCUGCAGUUCCUGGACCUUGAAGGGUUGAGUUUCCUCAUGGAGUCUUGUUUGUUGGUUGUACUUUGUUUUGGUGACAAUAGAAUUCUAACUGAGAACUUUGCCUACUAAUGCUCUGCCAGUUGAGCCAUGACCCCCUUGCCCAUCUUGCUUUAACAUUUGAGAUAGGGUCUUGCAAUUUUGCCUGAGUGGACAAUUCCUCAAUUUUCCCCUACUGUGCAGCUGGGCAUGAAAGAGUGCCUCACCAUACCUGGCCAUAGCUCCUGGUGUCUUCAGCUUGUACUUGAAGUUUAAAUACCAUACUCUUCUCUCCUUGCCCAUUAGAUAGUCUCAUUAUGGUAGGAAUAAGAGAAGCAUAAAAUGAGCAUUAUCUACUAUUUUCACUUUGCAAAAUGUGAAGGCUGAAUUAUAAUCAAGCAUGUUCAUUGUUUUGGUUGUAGAAGAUGGUGUCAUAGCCCUACCAUUUAUUUUGUUUAACAUCUCAAAAUUGAAAAGGAUAACAAAAAUAGGGCUGUUAAACACAAAUAAUUUGGCCUCAACCUAUCUCAAUACUUUCCUAAUAUUCUGUGUCUCAAAACUGUCACCUUCCUUAGUGACAUGUAAGCUACCCUGAUGAACAAACAACCUGUAAUCUAGAUAAAUGGUGUAGUAUAUCCUUGUACUUGAGCAACUUAAUUUCAGGCAAUCACAGCAGUGAAGCUUCAGCCAAUCCCACACAGCCAACUGAUCAGAUCAUGCCCAUCAAGAGAAAUGCUGACUACAUGCAUCAGGUUCUUUCUGAAUGGAACUUCCUUUUCUUUGGCUAGGAAGUACAGGAACAAGGCCCUGGCAAUGGCUCCCAUGAAGGAGCCCUCUUUGAACCCCAGUCAAAUACAAACAGCCAUUUUUGUGGGCUCA